Molecule: small nucleolar RNA, 72 nt
Organism: Macaca fascicularis (crab-eating macaque)
Lineage: Eukaryota; Metazoa; Chordata; Mammalia; Primates; Cercopithecidae
Gene: U3
Rfam family: Small nucleolar RNA U3
About the family: Small nucleolar RNAs (snoRNAs) are involved in the processing and modification of rRNA in the nucleolus. There are two main classes of snoRNAs: the box C/D class, and the box H/ACA class. U3 snoRNA is a member of the box C/D class.
Source: Ensembl
AAGACUAUACUUUCAGGGAUUAUUUCUAUAGUUCGUUACUACAAAAGUUUCUCUGAAAUGUAAAUUAAAAUU